UGAUCCUAGCUGCUCCGUUGGGCCUUGCACCUGGGUGCGUCACGCACUCAGCUGCUGCCUGUCCGCCCUCAAUCACCUGCUGGAACUUCCCCAUCUGGAAAACCAUCACAUCACACCAACUGUUGGACCCCCAUGUACUCUCCUCUGCUUACCUCUACCUGCAGACCUUCCUCCGCUGGCCCGGUUCCUCCCUGCUGUCGCUGAUCGACGCCCCUCCACACGCUCUCCAGCACAUUCUAUUGCUAAAUAAAUCUGUUAAAACUGUUUGGGUGUCCGUAGUUGUUGCUUGCCUUACAGUCCUAGAAACCUCGCAUUGUGACAUUCUCCUAAUUGUUAUGGUGCUUAAUGUUGUCAUUUGGAUGUGUGAUGAUGUCUAAGUAUUUACCUGGUGUAUCUGAAUGAUUAUAUCAAGAUGGUAACUAAUGCUUUCCUGCUAGCAUAAAACUUAAGAUGACAUUUUAAAAAAUCCACUUAAAACAUUAGAUUGUGUAAUAAGAAGUUUGUGACAACUGCAAAAAAAGCAGUUGCUGCUCAUCUCAUAAAGCCACAAAAAAAGUAAAUAUAGAUUUGUAUCAAUUUAUUAUUUAUGAUAGUUUAUAUUAGCAUCAAUAUCAGAAUUAAAAUCUAAAUGGCAUCGAAAAAGAGAUCAAUGAUGUUUAGACAUUUAAUUCAGUCAACAUUGCAGUAAGUAUUUUGCCAGCGAUUUGCAUGAGGAAAAAUCCCAUCUCUUCAUCAUAUUGUUAGGCCUUUCUGCUGUCUGUAACAUCCAUCAUUUAUCUUUGGAGUUCCUCGAUCAAAGCUUGAAGAGACAAAAAUCAACGUCAGUCAUAACAUUUCUAGUAUUUUGUAGUAAAUGCACAGCACACAAUUACAACCUAAUGUUGGACAUGACUUUAAAUAGCAACUGGAUUUUUUAUGUUUCUUGAAGACAAUUUGAAAACAACUUCUCAACCAAAAUAGUUUAAAACCUUACCUUUGAUAAUCUCGUCCUUCAUCUUGUUGAGCUCUUUUUUCACCUCUUCUAUAAUCUCCUUAAGACAUGAAAUGGCAUAGUAAUAUCUGUGCAGUUUUUGCAAAAGCAUUAUUCUGUGUUUCGAAACAAAUUAACUUGAUUUCUAAAUUAUUGCAAAAAAGAAAAGCAAACAUUGCUGUCUUGCUGUGAUUGCUGCAACAAACUGAGGAUCUAACCUGUUUGACACGCUCCAUAUCAUCGUCUCCUUCUUCACCAUCUGACUUUUUCUUCACCACUUUCAGCCUGUUGAGGCAAAAGAACACAUUUACUUUCAGUUGAAGCUUAUUUUAAAGCAAAUGCCCAAAAAUAGGCGUAGCAGAGCUCGUUUUAGACAGUUCCAAAAAUUAUUCAUUUUGUCUUGUAGAGGAAAGACAAACAGAAAAAACUCAUGUGAACCCAGAAAGUAGAUGUUUAUAGGGUACACAAAAACAUCACCCACACAUUCCAACUAUUUCUGUCUCUGGCUUCUUGCCAUUUAUGUACUAUCUGCAGCCAAUAAAAGUCAUGAAGGUUGCAUGCUCACUGUAGGCUUGUCUAGUUCAGUUAAUGCUGUCUGCUCUUAUUUCCAAUAAAAAGUACUUCUGAACCAGGGAUUCCCUUUUGUCUGUGUCUCAAACCCAAGCUGGUCAAAUUAGAUGAUCCUUCAUGUUAUGCUUGGUUCUGUUAAAGUUUGUUUCCUGUUAAUGAGUGGUUCUCUUCCACAUGUGAUUCCCAGGAUGAGGGAUUCAGCAAAGUCAAUUACCGAAUGCAAUGACCAAGUAUUCCUUUGAAUACUCUUGUAACCUUUAACCAAUUGGCAUUUUAUGAUUUACUCACUUUGACCAUGUUAUAUUUCAAUCCUGACUAAAUCGAAAUGUGCAUAUAAUUGAAUCUUGUUUCAACUAUGAUUGGAUUGAAUUUGAUUUAUUGAAUCUAUCAAAUAGGAUUCCAUAUAAUUGUAUAUGAACUGGAAUUCUCACACAGUCUGUCAAUGUGCUUAAAUCCAUUUUAGAGGAACAGGUGGGGGAAAAAAAAUACUUUAAAGAAAUCUAUUUUUAUUUCAACUGA
Molecule: long non-coding RNA, 2059 nt
Organism: Xiphophorus hellerii (green swordtail)
Lineage: Eukaryota; Metazoa; Chordata; Actinopteri; Cyprinodontiformes; Poeciliidae
Exons: 2
Source: RefSeq, a predicted model, not a curated record